RNAcentral lists this ribosomal RNA (557 nucleotides) under uncultured bacterium. RNAcentral describes it as "bacterial SSU rRNA". It matches the Rfam family "Bacterial small subunit ribosomal RNA", at positions 364 to 917 of the family's 1533-position model. The record is from RNAcentral.
UUGANNUGGGCGCAGCCUGAUCCAGCAAUGCCGCGUGAGUGAAGAAGGCCUUCGGGUUGUAAAGCUCUUUUGUCAGGGAAGAAACGGUUUCUCCUAAUACGGGGAACUAAUGACGGUACCUGAAGAAUAAGCACCGGCUAACUACGUGCCAGCAGCCGCGGUAAUACGUAGGGUGCAAGCGUUAAUCGGAAUUACUGGGCGUAAAGCGUGCGCAGGCGGUUUUGUAAGUCUGUCGUGAAAUCCCCGGGCUCAACCUGGGAAUUGCGAUGGAGACUGCAAGGCUAGAAUCUGGCAGAGGGGGGUAGAAUUCCACGUGUAGCAGUGAAAUGCGUAGAGAUGUGGAGGAACACCGAUGGCGAAGGCAGCCCCCUGGGUCAAGAUUGACGCUCAUGCACGAAAGCGUGGGGAGCAAACAGGAUUAGAUACCCUGGUAGUCCACGCCCUAAACGAUGUCUACUAGUUGUCGGGUUUUAAUUAACUUGGUAACGCAGCUAACGCGUGAAGUAGACCGCCUGGGGAGUACGGUCGCAAGAUUAAAACUCAAAGAAAUUGACGGA